RNAcentral lists this unclassified non-coding RNA (433 nucleotides) under soil metagenome. RNAcentral's name for it is "partial contains 5.8S ribosomal RNA, internal transcribed spacer 2, and large subunit ribosomal RNA". The stretch from base 1 to 120 matches the Rfam family "5.8S ribosomal RNA", at positions 35 to 154 of the family's 154-position model. The record is from RNAcentral.
GAUGAAGAACGUAGCGAAAUGCGAUACGUAAUGUGAAUUGCAGAAUUCAGUGAAUCAUUGAAUCUUUGAACGCAUAUUGCGCUCUCUGGUAUUCCGGAGAGCAUGCUUGUUUGAGUAUCAGUAAACACCUCAACUUCCAUAUCUUUUUUGAAAUGGGAGUUGGACUUGAGUGAUCCCAACGCUUUUCCUCACCGAAAAGUGGCGGGUUACUUGAAAUGCAGGUGCAGCUGGACUUUUCUCUGAGCUAUAAGCAUAUCUAUUUAGUCUGCCUAAAAAACAGAUUAUUACCUUUGCUGCAGCUAACAUAAAGGAGAUUAGUUCUUGUGCUGACUGAUGCAGGAUUCACAAAGACAGGCUUCGGCCGACUUUGUAAACUCGAUCUCAAAUCAAGUAAGACUACCCGCUGAACUUAAGCAUAUCAAUAAGCGGAGGA